AGCACAAACCUGUAGUCCUAGCUACUCAGGAGGAUCACUUGAGACCAGGAAGUCAAGGCUGCAUUGAGCCAUGACUGCAGCACUGCACUCCAGCACAGGCAAGAGCAAGACCCUUUCUCAAAAAGAAAAGACCUCCCCCUCACAGAGCCCAGAGCUGCUGAUUCUGGCUGAGGGCAAGGAAAAUACAAAAAAUGUUCAUCGAAAAAGUAAAACCAUGGAUAGCAACUAUAACUUCAAGAUCAAUGACAGAAACAACAACUGCAGUAGUCUGGCAGGUUUUCUGUUUUUGCUUUUUUGAGACGGAAUCUCACUCUGUUGCCCAGGCAGGAGUUGCAGGGGCUCACCCCUGUAAUCCCAGCACUUUGGGAGGCCAACGUGGGUGGAUCACCUGAUGUGAGGAGUUCGAGACCAGCCUACCCAACAUGGCGAAACCCUGUCACUACUAAAAAUACAAAAAAUUAGCCAGGCAUGGUGGCAGGUGCCUGUAAUCCCAGCUACUCGGGAAGAUGAGGCAGGAGAAUUGCUUGAACCUGGGAGGCAGAGGUUGCAGUGAGCCAAGAUCACGCCACUGCACUCCACCCUGGGCGACAAGAGCAAAACUCCGUCUCAAAACAAAACAAAACAAAAAAUUAGCCAGGCAUGGUGGCGAAUGCCUGUAAUCCCAGCUACUCAGUAGGCUGAGGCAAAAGAAUCACUUGAACCCGGGAGGCAGAGGUUGUGGUGAGCCAAGGUCACACCACUGCACUCCAGACAGCAAUAAGAGUGAAACUCCGUCUCAAAAAAAAACAAACAAACAAAACAAACAAACAAACAAACAAAAAACCUGCUGGUAGAUUCUAGGAGCUGAGCACAGCCUCUAGCAACAGCCAGCAACAAGUCCUAUAACUGCAAGGAAAUGAAUUUUGCCUAUUGACUGAGUGUGGAAAUACAUUCUGUUAUAGGCAGAGGUUGGAGCAAGCCGAGGUUGCACCACCGCACUCUAGCCAGAGCAACAGAGCAAGACUCUAUCACCAAAAAAAAAUAAAUAAAAAUAAAUAAUAAUAAAAUUCUACUGUAGGUUUCAGCUAAGGCAAUUAAACAAGACACAGCAUGCUUAUCAAAUUUGUAAAUGGACUAUAGAAUUUGAUGACUGAUAGAACUGGAUUCAAAAUUACUGCCACAGGCUGGAGUGAUACACUGAAUAAAUAGGAUAUUUAUUUUUAAAAAAGAAAUAGAAUAUACAACACAAGAAUUAAACAACACUCAUAUAAAAUGUCUCACACAUAAAAUAUAAACCAAAACACUACACUUCUGGCCAGCCACAGUAGUAGCUCACGGCUGCAAUCCCAGCACUUUGGGAGGCCAAGGUGGGCCAAUCACUUGAUGCCAGGUGUUCAAGACCAGCCUGGCCAACAUGAUGAUACCGCAUCUCUACAAAAAAAUACCAAAAUUAGCCAGGCGUGGUGGUGCAUGCCUGUAAUCCCAUCUACUUGGGAGGCUGAGGCAUGAGAAUCACUUGAACCCAGGAGGCGGAGGGUGCAGUGUAUUCAGAUGGCACCACUGCACUCCAGCCUGGGCAACAGAGCAAGAAUCUGUCUCAAAAAGUCGGGGGCG
Molecule: long non-coding RNA, 1593 nt
Filed under: Homo sapiens (human)
Lineage: Eukaryota; Metazoa; Chordata; Mammalia; Primates; Hominidae
Description: non-protein coding lnc-ZNF559-ZNF177-3:1
Source: RNAcentral